This 495-nucleotide ribosomal RNA is filed under the name uncultured bacterium. RNAcentral's name for it is "bacterial SSU rRNA". It matches the Rfam family "Bacterial small subunit ribosomal RNA", at positions 9 to 507 of the family's 1533-position model. The record is from RNAcentral.
GAGUUUGAUCCUGGCUCAGGAUGAACGCUAGCGGCAGGCCUAAUACAUGCAAGUCGAACGCUCAGUAGCAAUACUGGGAGUGGCGCACGGGUGCGUAACGCGUACACAAUCUACCUCUAAGCGGGGGACACCUCCUGGAAACGGGGAUUAAUACCGCAUAAUAUGCCGAGGUCGCAUGACUUUGGUAUUAAAGCAGCAAUGCACUUAGAGAUGAGUGUGCGUCCCAUUAGGUAGUUGGUGAGGUAACGGCUCACCAAGCCUAUGAUGGGUAGCCGGUCUGAGAGGAUGGUCGGCCACACGGGCACUGAGACACGGGCCCGACUCCUACGGGAGGCAGCAGUAAGGAAUAUUGGUCAAUGGUGGAAACACUGAACCAGCCAUGCCGCGUGGAGGAAUAAGGUCCUACGGAUUGUAAACUCCUUUUGACGAGGAAGAAAGUGUUAGAUUUAUCUAAUUUUGACGGUACUCGUAGAAUAAGCACCGGCUAACUCCGUG